AGAGUUUGAUCAUGGCUCAGGAUGAACGCUAGCGGCAGGCUUAAUACAUGCAAGUCGUGGGGCAGCACAGGUAGCAAUACUGGGUGGCGACCGGCAAACGGGUGCGGAACACGUACGCAACCUUCCUUUAAGUGGGGAAUAGCCCAGGGAAACUUGGAUUAAUACCCCGUAACACUAUGAAGUGGCAUCAUUUUAUAGUUAAAGCUACGGCGCUUAAAGAUGGGCGUGCGGCUGAUUAGGUAGUUGGCGGAGUAACAGCCCACCAAGCCAACGAUCAGUAACUGGUGUGAGAGCACGACCAGUCACACGGGCACUGAGACACGGGCCCGACUCCUACGGGAGGCAGCAGUAAGGAAUAUUGGUCAAUGGACGCAAGUCUGAACCAGCCAUGCCGCGUGGAGGAUGAAGGCCCUCUGGGUUGUAAACUUCUUUUAUUUGGGAAGAAACCUAUCCUUUCUAGGGUAGUUGACGGUACCAGAUGAAUAAGCACCGGCUAACUCCGUGCCAGCAGCCGCGGUAAUACGGAGGGUGCAAGCGUUAUCCGGAUUCACUGGGUUUAAAGGGUGCGUAGGUGGGCAGGUAAGUCAGUGGUGAAAUCUCUGAGCUUAACUCAGAAACUGCCGUUGAUACUAUCUGUCUUGAAUAUCGUGGAGGUGAGCGGAAUAUGUCAUGUAGCGGUGAAAUGCUUAGAUAUGACAUAGAACACCAAUUGCGAAGGCAGCUCGCUACACGGUUAUUGACACUGAGGCACGAAAGCGUGGGGAUCAAACAGGAUUAGAUACCCUAGUAGUCC
This 793-nucleotide ribosomal RNA is filed under the name uncultured bacterium. RNAcentral's name for it is "bacterial SSU rRNA". It matches the Rfam family "Bacterial small subunit ribosomal RNA", at positions 8 to 796 of the family's 1533-position model. The record is from RNAcentral.